AUCCUACGGGGGGCAGCAGUGAGGAAUAUUGGUCAAUGGGCGAGAGCCUGAACCAGCCAAGUCGCGUGAGGGAGUACUGCCCUAUGGGUUGUAAACCUCUUUUGUAGAGAACGAAAAGACACCUUUUAAUAAAGGGUGUUGCUGACGGUACUCUAAGAAUAAGCACCGGCUAACUACGUGCCAGCAGCCGCGGUAAUACGUAGGGUGCGAGCGUUAAUCGGAAUUACUGGGCGUAAAGGGUGCGCAGGCGGUUGAGUAAGACAGAUGUGAAAUCCCCGAGCUUAACUCGGGAAUGGCAUAUGUGG
Molecule: ribosomal RNA, 305 nt
Filed under: uncultured bacterium
Lineage: Bacteria
Description: bacterial SSU rRNA
Rfam family: Bacterial small subunit ribosomal RNA
Source: RNAcentral